UACAGAGGGUGCGAGCGUUGUCCGGAAUCACUGGGCGUAAAGGGUGCGUAGGCGGCCCGGUAAGUCAGUGGUGAAAUCUCCUUGCUUAACAAGGAAACUGCCAUUGAUACUGCUGGGCUUGAGUACAGAUGCUGUGGGCGGAAUAUGACAUGUAGUGGUGAAAUACAUAGAGAUGUCAUAGAACACCGAUUGCGAAGGCAGCUCACAAAACUGUAACUGACGCUGAGGCACGAAAGUGCGGGGAUCAAACAGG
Molecule: ribosomal RNA, 253 nt
Filed under: uncultured bacterium
Lineage: Bacteria
Description: partial 16S ribosomal RNA
Rfam family: Bacterial small subunit ribosomal RNA
Source: RNAcentral